This 2669-nucleotide long non-coding RNA is filed under the name Sus scrofa (pig). RNAcentral's name for it is "lncRNA (ENSSSCG00050071839.1)". Lineage: Eukaryota; Metazoa; Chordata; Mammalia; Artiodactyla; Suidae. The record is from RNAcentral.
UUUUUUUUUUUUGCGACACCUGCAUCAUGUGGAAGUUCCCAAGCCAGGGAUAGAGCCUGUGCCACAGCAGUGACAACUCUGGAUCCGAAGCCACUGAGCCACCAGGGAACUCCUACGUUUUUAUGUAUGUAGCAUUUGUUUAUAUUUUAUUUUGUGCUAAAACACUGUUAGAUUGAAAACAAAAAUUUUGGAAUACUAUUGUUUGUAACAAUGUAACUAGUGACUUUGCUGAAACAAAGAAAAGAGUGACAUAUUUUUAUGGGAUAAACGCAUAAUACUUUGUCUAUUGUUUAUAUCUUUGCCUUAUUACUCAUCCAGGCACCACCAGUCCAUAAACAGGAUAUCCCCAUGUGCAUAAUAAUAAUUAGAUUCCAUGGACUUUGAUGUUUGGCCAACUCUAAAUCAUACAAAAACCACAGCUUUACUCACAUUUAUUUUUUCACUUUUGUCAAUAUGAAGGUAUAAUUUUCAAGGUUCAGAGGAUAGAUUCUUUUUUUUAACCCAACUCUUUGUUAACUUGAUCCAUAACUUUUAAGUAUUUAGAUGUGGCUUACAGGCCUCUAUUGCUAGACUUUCCCUGGGCCUCAACUGUUAGCUGAAAGCCUGUUAUUUUCUUAAAAAUUUGUCUCUUGAUUUAGAAAAAUCUCACUUGUAGAAGAGAGUUGAUCUUCAUGAAUGGGGACAGUUGAAGGAGUACAGAUUCAAAUUUUUCUCCUUUUAGGCUCACUCUGGGGUAUGGACUCCCUGGGCUUGGAACAGCCGAUAAAAUGUUUUGCACUGCUAGGCUGAUUUUUGUCUUUGAGCAAACCCACACAGUUGAAUAUUGUUAAGUUAAAUGUAAUGAUAACACUACUGCAGUCUAACGAAAAUACUGAAGGGAUGAAAUGCUUCAUAAUUGAUUCGUUCUUUUAUUAAAUUUAGUGGAUUGCUGCUUGACUCUGAUUUUAGUAUUUUACCUUCACCUGUGUAGUGAUUCAUUCAACAGAACUUACUUGCUGGGCAUAGAGGACACAAAUACAAAUAAGAUGUUCCAUUUUCACUUUUGGCAAGAUGCUGGAAUAGGGACUAUGAAUGGGCCGUCGCUACAAAAUAACUAGUCAGGCCUUUUAAUAAAUUACAGUCUUUAUAGAAAAUAAGAGGGGACUUCCACACAGCCUUUCCUGUGUCAAAAACUGUAAAGCAUCUGAGAUUCUACCCUGCUUUCAAGAUAACAAGGUGCCUGCCAGGUUCAUGGAUGCUGGCCGAGGACAUGAGACACAUGAGUCAGAGACAAUGCAUAUUAUCACUCACAACACAGCAAACAGCAGGAGCUUCAUGUUUUUAUAAGUUUUCUUGUCCUUCGAGCCUCAUGGGAUGGCAGAGCAGCCCAGGUCAAUGCAGUGGAUUUAUACUAUAGCCGAGGAAUGCUCAGAUUACAAAAACACCGUCUUUUAAAGGGAUCGCUAGCAAACUUGCUCAACUUUUUCCUAGAAGGAGAUAUUGUGUUUAUGACUCUAGAUAAAUCUGCCAAGUAAAACUGCACUAAAUAGAGAGAGCAUCUAUAUCUUCCAAGGAAAGGUAGUUCAGAACAAAACCCGUCAAUAUAAGUGGACAUAUAAAAUUAUGUUGAUCCUAUAGUGUAGUCUAUUAAAAGUGAAAUUGCAUUAUGUCUGAAGAAACAAUGCACAUACCUGAAUUAAAAUAGUUCACUUCUGAAAUCUGCUAACCAUCAACCGAUCCUUCAGCGACUCAUCAUCUUUUUGUUGGUGAAGGGUCUCGCCUCGACAUUGCUGGCUGCCGAUUGAUCUGGGUUGUGCUUGCUGAAGGCUAAGGGGUCUGUGGCAAUUUCUUAAAAUAAGACCAUGAACGUCACCGCAUCAACUGGCCCUUCCUUUGUGACUUAGCAGGAAAUGCUGUUUGAUCGCAUUUUGCAGCAGAACGUCUUUCAAAGUUGGAAUCAGUCCUCUCCAAUCUUGCCUCUGCUUUAUCAGCUAAGUUUAUGUCAUAUUCUAAAUCCUUUGUUGGCAACAAUCUUCACAACAUCUUCACGGAACGAAGAGUCCAUUUCCAGAAACCCCCUUCUUUGCUCAUCCAUGACAAGGAACUCUUCAUCCGUUCCAGUUUUAUCAUGAGAUCACACCAAUUCAGUCUCAUUUUUAGGCUCUUCUUCUGAGUCUAGUUCCCUGCCAUGUCCACCACAUUGGCAGUUACUUCCUCUACUGAAGGUAGGUAGGUCUUGAACCCCCCAAAGGCCUCCACGAGGGUUGAAAUCACUUUCUUUCCAAUGCCUGUUAAUCUGGAUAUUUUGACCUCUUCCUAUGAAUUAUGGAUGUUCUUCAUGGCUCUGGAAUGGGGACUCCUUCCCAAAAGAUUUUCAAUUUAUUUUGCCCCCAACCCAUCAGAGGCAUCACUCUCUAUUAGCUAUGGCCUUUCAAAAUGUAUUUCUUAAGUAACGAAACUUGAAAACUAAAAUUGCUCCUGGAGGGCAUUCCCAUUGUGGCUCAGUGGGUUACAAACCUGACUAGUUAUUUCCUGAGGAUGCAGGUUUGAUCCCUGGCCUUGCUCAGUGGUUCAGUGGGUUAAAGAUCUGGCAUUGCUGUGGCUGUGACUGUGGCUGUGGUGUAGGCCAGCAGAUGCAGCUCCGACUCAACCCCCAGCCUGGGCACUUCCAUAUGCUGCAGGUGCAGUCC